AACGAACGCUGGCGGCGUGUUUAAGACAUGCAAGUCGCGCGGGAUAAGACAUGUAGUAAUACUUGUUUUAUUUAGUGGCGCACGGGUGAGUAACACGUGAAUUACAUGCCCUAUAGUGGGGAAUAGCCCAGGGAAACUUGGAUUAAUACCCCAUGGUAUCGAAAGAUUAAAGGUGGCCGCAAGGCUGUCGCUAUAGGAUUGGUUCGCGCCCUAUCAGCUUGUUGGUGAGGUAACGGCUCACCAAGGCAAUGACGGGUACCUGGUCUGAGAGGACGAUCAGGCACACUGGAACUGAGACACGGUCCAGACACCUACGGGUGGCAGCAGUCGAGAAUAAUUCACAAUGGGGGCAACCCUGAUGGUGCAACGCCGCGUGGAGGAUGACGGUCUUCGGAUUGUAAACUCCUGUCAUCUGGGAGAAAGACCUGACGGUAAAUAGCCGGCAGGGUUGAUAGUACCAGAAGAGGAAGGGACGGCUAACUUCGUGCCAGCCGCCGCCUGUAA
This 504-nucleotide ribosomal RNA is filed under the name uncultured bacterium. RNAcentral describes it as "partial 16S ribosomal RNA". It matches the Rfam family "Bacterial small subunit ribosomal RNA", at positions 29 to 523 of the family's 1533-position model. The record is from RNAcentral.